AGCGCCUGUGUGGGGCAAAGCGCGGAAGAUAAAAGUACUUUGCAGGCAGUCCUUCCGCGUGCAGUCCUGUAUCGCAAUUUUGCGAUUUUAAAUCGUUC
This 98-nucleotide small RNA is filed under the name bovine gut metagenome. RNAcentral's name for it is "RT-5 RNA". It matches the Rfam family "RT-5 RNA". From Rfam's summary of the family: Clostridium (Firmicutes). Environment (Cow rumen (57)) The record is from RNAcentral.